GGUUAAGCGACUAAGCGUACACGGUGGAUGCCCUGGCAGUCAGAGGCGAUGAAGGACGUGCUAAUCUGCGAUAAGCGUCGGUAAGGUGAUAUGAACCGUUAUAACCGGCGAUUUCCGAAUGGGGAAACCCAGUGUGUUUCGACACACUAUCAUUAACUGAAUCCAUAGGUUAAUGAGGCGAACCGGGGGAACUGAAACAUCUAAGUACCCCGAGGAAAAGAAAUCAACCGAGAUUCCCCCAGUAGCGGCGAGCGAACGGGGAGCAGCCCAGAGCCUGAAUCAGUGUGUGUGUUAGUGGAAGCGUCUGGAAAGGCGCGCGAUACAGGGUGACAGCCCCGUACACAAAAAUGCACAUGCUGUGAGCUCGAUGAGUAGGGCGGGACACGUGGUAUCCUGUCUGAAUAUGGGGGGACCAUCCUCCAAGGCUAAAUACUCCUGACUGACCGAUAGUGAACCAGUACCGUGAGGGAAAGGCGAAAAGAACCCCGGCGAGGGGAGUGAAAAAGAACCUGAAACCGUGUACGUACAAGCAGUGGGAGCACAGAGCAAUCUGUGUGACUGCGUACCUUUUGUAUAAUGGGUCAGCGACUUAUAUUCUGUAGCAAGGUUAACCGAAUAGGGGAGCCGAAGGGAAACCGAGUCUUAACUGGGCGUUAAGUUGCAGGGUAUAGACCCGAAACCCGGUGAUCUAGCCAUGGGCAGGUUGAAGGUUGGGUAACACUAACUGGAGGACCGAACCGACUAAUGUUGAAAAAUUAGCGGAUGACUUGUGGCUGGGGGUGAAAGGCCAAUCAAACCGGGAGAUAGCUGGUUCUCCCCGAAAGCUAUUUAGGUAGCGCCUCGUGAAUUCAUCUCCGGGGGUAGAGCACUGUUUCGGCAAGGGGGUCAUCCCGACUUACCAACCCGAUGCAAACUACGAAUACCGGAGAAUGUUAUCACGGGAGACACACGGCGGGUGCUAACGUCCGUCGUGAAGAGGGAAACAACCCAGACCGCCAGCUAAGGUCCCAAAGUCAUGGUUAAGUGGGAAACGAUGUGGGAAGGCCCAGACAGCCAGGAUGUUGGCUUAGAAGCAGCCAUCAUUUAAAGAAAGCGUAAUAGCUCACUGGUCGAGUCGGCCUGCGCGGAAGAUGUAACGGGGCUAAACCAUGCACCGAAGCUGCGGCAGCGACGCUUAUGCGUUGUUGGGUAGGGGAGCGUUCUGUAAGCCUGUGAAGGUGUACUGUGAGGUAUGCUGGAGGUAUCAGAAGUGCGAAUGCUGACAUAAGUAACGAUAAAGCGGGUGAAAAGCCCGCUCGCCGGAAGACCAAGGGUUCCUGUCCAACGUUAAUCGGGGCAGGGUGAGUCGACCCCUAAGGCGAGGCCGAAAGGCGUAGUCGAUGGGAAACAGGUUAAUAUUCCUGUACUUGGUGUUACUGCGAAGGGGGGACGGAGAAGGCUAUGUUGGCCGGGCGACGGUUGUCCCGGUUUAAGCGUGUAGGCUGGUUUUCCAGGCAAAUCCGGAAAAUCAAGGCUGAGGCGUGAUGACGAGGCACUACGGUGCUGAAGCAACAAAUGCCCUGCUUCCAGGAAAAGCCUCUAAGCAUCAGGUAACAUCAAAUCGUACCCCAAACCGACACAGGUGGUCAGGUAGAGAAUACCAAGGCGCUUGAGAGAACUCGGGUGAAGGAACUAGGCAAAAUGGUGCCGUAACUUCGGGAGAAGGCACGCUGAUAUGUAGGUGAAGUCCCUCGCGGAUGGAGCUGAAAUCAGUCGAAGAUACCAGCUGGCUGCAACUGUUUAUUAAAAACACAGCACUGUGCAAACACGAAAGUGGACGUAUACGGUGUGACGCCUGCCCGGUGCCGGAAGGUUAAUUGAUGGGGUCAGCGCAAGCGAAGCUCUUGAUCGAAGCCCCGGUAAACGGCGGCCGUAACUAUAACGGUCCUAAGGUAGCGAAAUUCCUUGUCGGGUAAGUUCCGACCUGCACGAAUGGCGUAAUGAUGGCCAGGCUGUCUCCACCCGAGACUCAGUGAAAUUGAACUCGCUGUGAAGAUGCAGUGUACCCGCGGCAAGACGGAAAGACCCCGUGAACCUUUACUAUAGCUUGACACUGAACAUUGAGCCUUGAUGUGUAGGAUAGGUGGGAGGCUUUGAAGUGUGGACGCCAGUCUGCAUGGAGCCGACCUUGAAAUACCACCCUUUAAUGUUUGAUGUUCUAACGUGGACCCGUAAUCCGGGUUGCGGACAGUGUCUGGUGGGUAGUUUGACUGGGGCGGUCUCCUCCUAAAGAGUAACGGAGGAGCACGAAGGUUGGCUAAUCCUGGUCGGACAUCAGGAGGUUAGUGCAAUGGCAUAAGCCAGCUUGACUGCGAGCGUGACGGCGCGAGCAGGUGCGAAAGCAGGUCAUAGUGAUCCGGUGGUUCUGAAUGGAAGGGCCAUCGCUCAACGGAUAAAAGGUACUCCGGGGAUAACAGGCUGAUACCGCCCAAGAGUUCAUAUCGACGGCGGUGUUUGGCACCUCGAUGUCGGCUCAUCACAUCCUGGGGCUGAAGUAGGUCCCAAGGGUAUGGCUGUUCGCCAUUUAAAGUGGUACGCGAGCUGGGUUUAGAACGUCGUGAGACAGUUCGGUCCCUAUCUGCCGUGGGCGCUGGAGAAUUGAGGGGGGCUGCUCCUAGUACGAGAGGACCGGAGUGGACGCAUCACUGGUGUUCGGGUUGUCAUGCCAAUGGCACUGCCCGGUAGCUAAAUGCGGAAGAGAUAAGUGCUGAAAGCAUCUAAGCACGAAACUUGCCCCGAGAUGAGUUCUCCCUGACUCCUUGAGAGUCCUGAAGGAACGUUGAAGACGACGACGUUGAUAGGCCGGGUGUGUAAGCGCAGCGAUGCGUUGAGCUAACCGGUACUAAUGAACCGUGAGGCUUAACCUUACAACGCCGAAGGUGUUUUG
This 2926-nucleotide ribosomal RNA is filed under the name Escherichia coli. Its description in RNAcentral is "bacterial LSU rRNA". It matches the Rfam family "Bacterial large subunit ribosomal RNA". Lineage: Bacteria; Pseudomonadati; Pseudomonadota; Gammaproteobacteria; Enterobacterales; Enterobacteriaceae. The record is from RNAcentral.